UGGGGAAUAUUGGACAAUGGGCGCAAGCCUGAUCCAGCCAUGCCGCGUGUGUGAAGAAGGCCUUCGGGUUGUAAAGCACUUUUGUCNGGGAGGAAGGGGCUUNGGUUAAUACCUGGGGGUNUUGACGUUACCGGCAGAAUAAGCACCGGCUAACUNCGUGCCAGCAGCCGCGGUAAUACGUAGGGUGCAAGCGUUAAUCGGAAUUACUGGGCGUAAAGCGCGCGCAGGCGGUUNGNUAAGUCAGAUGUGAAAUCCCCGGGCUCAACCUGGGAACUGCAUUNGAAACUGCCNGGCUAGAGUAUGGUAGAGGGGGGUGGAAUUCCCNGUGUAGCAGUGAAAUGCGUAGAUAUGNGGAGGAACACCGAUGGCGAAGGCAGCCCCCUGGACCGAUACUGACGCUCAUGCGCGAAAGCGUGGGGAGCAAA
This 425-nucleotide ribosomal RNA is filed under the name beta proteobacterium SCGC AAA278-E16. RNAcentral describes it as "partial 16S small subunit ribosomal RNA". It matches the Rfam family "Bacterial small subunit ribosomal RNA", at positions 355 to 772 of the family's 1533-position model. Lineage: Bacteria; Pseudomonadati; Pseudomonadota; Betaproteobacteria. The record is from RNAcentral.